ACUCUUCAACUCCCCAAUUUCUUGUAGAUUGUGUGGAUGUUUGGAUUUUGAAUGUUGCUGGCUCCUCGGAGCGAAGCUCGUUCGUAAUACAUUAGCAUUUCUAAUUCGAAUUCGGAUUGACUCAGUGUAAUAGACUAUUUCGCUGAGGACACUAGCAAUAGUGGCCGUAUUCAAUACAAGAAAAGCUUCUAAUCCCAUUAGUCACUUUUGA
Molecule: unclassified non-coding RNA, 211 nt
Filed under: uncultured Rhodotorula
Lineage: Eukaryota; Fungi; Basidiomycota
Description: sequence contains ITS2
Source: RNAcentral